UUCUUUUCCGCACGAGACAUCCCGCAAGGACGUGUUCCGCCUCUGGAGAGGACAAUGACGACUUGCGUAUUCUACCUCGUCUUGUUUAGCAGAAGGUCCAUCGCCGCCACUCGAGCUGUCCUGGACCCUGCCGUGCCUGCUGUGGCCUCUGCAGCCGCAGCUGAAGGCUGCUCCUUCCAGCUACUCUCAGAAUCCUUACGCUACCGUGGUCACUCCCCGGCUGUUCUGCAGGCUUCAUCAUUGCCCUCUCUCAAGUCUUCGUCCUCCCAGCGAGAAUGCGAAGCUUGGUUGGCCCUGCUCCAGCCCGAGUCUGUUGCCGCACCAUCCGCGCAGCCAACUGUGACUCAACCAAAGACAUCGGUAAGCGUUGGGCUGGAGCUGUCCACACCGUCACUACAGCGCGGCUCACCAGGCCCCCGUGGGCUUGGAAGUUGCCAGCGCCGCCACCUUUGCAUCGCAGCCACGAUCCAGCCCAAAGUCACCAGUCGUGAGAACUGUUAAAGCUUCAGCCAUGAAGCCUCCAUCAGGAUUGGGAUGCCAUCGCUUCGGCUGCCUGGAUGAAGUCCUCACCAAGAGCGGUAGUUAGUGUGGAAGAUAGUGCGUCGUGCUUUGUUGAUGGGCGACUUGCUCCGGUGGCCGUGGUGUUGUCGGGGAGAUACCAUCAAUGCGCCCUUGUGACUACCGCCUGCGAUCUGUGAUUGUCGUGUGUUUUGGCCGGUCGACGGUGACUGAUGAUCUACGGCCAUCGCUUAAUAUUUGUUUUUCAUUAGCCUUCUAUCUUGAUAGAUUAAGGGUAAACAUCAGUUUGUAUAAAUAAAUGCUAAUUAACGAA
RNAcentral lists this long non-coding RNA (832 nucleotides) under Dermacentor andersoni. Its description in RNAcentral is "uncharacterized LOC126548622". The record is from RNAcentral. Lineage: Eukaryota; Metazoa; Arthropoda; Arachnida; Ixodida; Ixodidae.